RNAcentral lists this ribosomal RNA (253 nucleotides) under uncultured bacterium. RNAcentral describes it as "partial 16S ribosomal RNA". It matches the Rfam family "Bacterial small subunit ribosomal RNA", at positions 524 to 776 of the family's 1533-position model. The record is from RNAcentral.
UACGUAGGGCGCAAGCGUUGUCCGGAAUUAUUGGGCGUAAAGAGCUCGUAGGCGGCCUGUUGCGUCCGCUGUGAAAUCCCGGGGCUCAACCCCGGGCGUGCAGUGGAUACGGGCUGGCUGGAGGCAGGCAGGGGAGAACGGAAUUCCUGGUGUAGCGGUGAAAUGCGCAGAUAUCAGGAGGAACACCGGUGGCGAAGGCGGUUCUCUGGGCCUGUACUGACGCUGAGGCACGAAAGCCAGGGGAGCAAACGGG